UUUCCGUAGGUGAACCUGCGGAAGGAUCAUUCAUAAUAAGUGUUUUACUGCACUUUUUAAAAAUAGUACUCACCUUGUGUGCAAUGUCGUGUUUCUUUUCGGAGAAACACCUACACCAACCUAUAACCUUGAACCACUUUGUCUGAAAAACUAUUAUGAAUACUUAAUUCAAAAUACAACUUUCAACAACGGAUCUCUUGGCUCUC
RNAcentral lists this unclassified non-coding RNA (206 nucleotides) under plant metagenome. RNAcentral describes it as "partial contains small subunit ribosomal RNA, internal transcribed spacer 1, and 5.8S ribosomal RNA". The record is from RNAcentral.